This 487-nucleotide ribosomal RNA is filed under the name uncultured bacterium. RNAcentral's name for it is "partial 16S ribosomal RNA". It matches the Rfam family "Bacterial small subunit ribosomal RNA", at positions 28 to 523 of the family's 1533-position model. The record is from RNAcentral.
GAUGAACGCUAGCGGAAGGCAUAAUACAUGCAAGUCGAACGGAUGUAGCAAUACAUUAGUGGCGCACGGGUGCGUAACGCGUAUGCAACCUACCUUCAUCAGGGGGAUAACUACUCGAAAGGGUGGCUAACACCGCAUAAUACUACUGAAUGGCAUCAUUUGGUAUUUAAAUCUGAGGAGGAUGAAGAUGGGCAUGCGUCUGAUUAGCUAGUUGGUGUGGUAACGGCGCACCGAGGCGACGAUCAGUAGGGGAACUGAGAGGUUGGUCCCCCACACUGGCACUGAGAUACGGGCCAGACUCCUACGGGAGGCAGCAGUAGGGAAUAUUGGUCAAUGGUGGGAACACUGAACCAGCCAUUCCGCGUGCAGGAAGAAGGGUCUCUGACUUGUAAACUGCUUUAGCAAGGGAAGAAAAAGCUCAUGCGUGAGAAAUUGACGGUACCUUGAGAAUAAGCACCGGCUAACUACGUGCCAGCCGCCGCCGUAA